UGGGGAAUAUUGCACAAUGGGCGCAAGCCUGAUGCAGCCAUGCCGCGUGUAUGAAGAAGGCCUUCGGGUUGUAAAGUACUUUCAGCGGGGAGGAAGGCGAUAAGGUUAAUAACCUUGUCGAUUGACGUUACCCGCAGAAGAAGCACCGGCUAACUCCGUGCCAGCAGCCGCGGUAAUACGGAGGGUGCAAGCGUUAAUCGGAAUUACUGGGCGUAAAGCGCACGCAGGCGGUCUGUCAAGUCGGAUGUGAAAUCCCCGGGCUCAACCUGGGAACUGCAUUCGAUACUGGCAAGCUUGAGUCUCGUAGAGGGGGGUAGAAUUCCAGGUGUAGCGGUGAAAUGCGUAGAGAUCUGGAGGAAUACCGGUGGCGAAGGCGGCCCCCUGGACGAAGACUGACGCUCAGGUGCGAAAGCGUGGGGAGCAAACA
Molecule: ribosomal RNA, 427 nt
Filed under: uncultured bacterium
Lineage: Bacteria
Description: partial 16S ribosomal RNA
Rfam family: Bacterial small subunit ribosomal RNA
Source: RNAcentral